ACCUGCAGUCGAGCGGUAGCACAGAGAGCUUGCUCUCGGGUGACGAGCGGCGGACGGGUGAGUAAUGUCUGGGAAACUGCCUGAUGGAGGGGGAUAACUACUGGAAACGGUAGCUAAUACCGCAUAAUGUCGCAAGACCAAAGUGGGGGACCUUCGGGCCUCAUGCCAUCAGAUGUGCCCAGAUGGGAUUAGCUAGUAGGUGGGGUAACGGCUCACCUAGGCGACGAUCCCUAGCUGGUCUGAGAGGAUGACCAGCCACACUGGAACUGAGACACGGUCCAGACUCCUACGGGAGGCAGCAGUGGGGAAUAUUGCACAAUGGGCGCAAGCCUGAUGCAGCCAUGCCGCGUGUGUGAAGAAGGCCUUCGGGUUGUAAAGCACUUUCAGCGGGGAGGAAGGCGGUAAGGUUAAUAACCUUGUCGAUUGACGUUACCCGCAGAAGAAGCACCGGCUAACUCCGUGCCAGCAGCCGCGGUAAUACGGAGGGUGCAAGCGUUAAUCGGAAUUACUGGGCGUAAAGCGCACGCAGGCGGUCUGUCAAGUCGGAUGUGAAAUCCCCGGGCUCAACCUGGGAACUGCAUUCGAAACUGGCAGGCUAGAGUCUUGUAGAGGGGGGUAGAAUUCCAGGUGUAGCGGUGAAAUGCGUAGAGAUCUGGAGGAAUACCGGUGGCGAAGGCGGCCCCCUGGACAAAGACUGACGCUCAGGUGCGAAAGCGUGGGGAGCAAACAGGAUUAGAUACCCUGGUAGUCCACGCCGUAAACGAUGUCGAUUUGGAGGUUGUGCCCUUGAGGCGUGGCUUCCGGAGCUAACGCGUUAAAUCGACCGCCUGGGGAGUACGGCCGCAAGGUUAAAACUCAAAUGAAUUGACGGGGGCCCGCACAAGCGGUGGAGCAUGUGGUUUAAUUCGAUGCAACGCGAAGAACCUUACCUGGUCUUGACUU
This 942-nucleotide ribosomal RNA is filed under the name Klebsiella pneumoniae. RNAcentral describes it as "bacterial SSU rRNA". It matches the Rfam family "Bacterial small subunit ribosomal RNA", at positions 53 to 987 of the family's 1533-position model. The record is from RNAcentral. Lineage: Bacteria; Pseudomonadati; Pseudomonadota; Gammaproteobacteria; Enterobacterales; Enterobacteriaceae.